CAGCCGCCACGGGAAAACGGAGGGAGCUAGCGUUGUUCGGAAUUACUGGGCGUAAAGCGCACGUAGGCGGCUAUUCAAGUCAGGGGUGAAAGCCCGGGGCUCAACCCCGGAACUGCCUUUGAAACUAGAUAGCUUGAAUCUUGGAGAGGCGAGUGGAAUUCCGAGUGUAGAGGUGAAAUUCGUAGAUAUUCGGAAGAACACCAGUGGCGAAGGCGACUCGCUGGACAAGUAUUGACGCUGAGGUGCGAAAGCGUGGGGAGCAAACAGGAAUAGAUACCCGAGUAGUCCCUGUCUCUUAUAA
RNAcentral lists this ribosomal RNA (301 nucleotides) under uncultured bacterium. RNAcentral's name for it is "partial 16S ribosomal RNA". It matches the Rfam family "Bacterial small subunit ribosomal RNA", at positions 509 to 809 of the family's 1533-position model. The record is from RNAcentral.